This 497-nucleotide ribosomal RNA is filed under the name uncultured bacterium. Its description in RNAcentral is "partial 16S ribosomal RNA". It matches the Rfam family "Bacterial small subunit ribosomal RNA", at positions 28 to 507 of the family's 1533-position model. The record is from RNAcentral.
GAUGAACGCUGGCGGCGUGCCUAAUACAUGCAAGUCGAGCGAACAGAUGAGGAGCUUGCUCCUCUGACGUUAGCGGCGGACGGGUGAGUAACACGUGGAUAACCUACCUAUAAGACUGGGAUAACUUCGGGAAACCGGAGCUAAUACCGGAUAAUAUAUUGAACCGCAUGGUUCAAUAGUGAAAGACGGUUUUGCUGUCACUUAUAGAUGGAUCCGCGCCGCAUUAGCUAGUUGGUAAGGUAACGGCUUACCAAGGCAACGAUGCGUAGCCGACCUGAGAGGGUGAUCGGCCACACUGGAACUGAGACACGGUCCAGACUCCUACGGGCGGCAGCAGUAGGGAAUCUUCCGCAAUGGGCGAAAGCCUGACGGAGCAACGCCGCGUGAGUGAUGAAGGUCUUCGGAUCGUAAAACUCUGUUAUUAGGGAAGAACAAAUGUGUAAGUAACUAUGCACGUCUUGACGGUACCUAAUCAGAAAGCCACGGCUAACUACGUG